GCAAGAAUUUCGCAGGAUCCAAAUGCUGCAGCUGAUUUCGACUGCCCUUGCCCCAGUAAACUGUGCCAUGUUGCUAUAUUUAUCGCUUUGGUAAUGCUACAUAGCGUUUUGUGGCGAAGCUUAAUUCCUGUGGAAGAAACUGGAUCAUGUCCAGAGCCUUAACCCACAUUAAAGUGGGAACCACGACCACGUGCGGAUCUCCUUUUUUCUGAAUGACACCUCC
This is a long non-coding RNA of Eufriesea mexicana, 223 nucleotides long. RefSeq lists it as uncharacterized. The record is from RefSeq and is a predicted model, not a curated record. The transcript has 3 exons. NCBI's taxonomy places the organism in Eukaryota, Metazoa, Arthropoda, Insecta, Hymenoptera, Apidae.